Non-coding RNA from Leptonychotes weddellii (Weddell seal), 454 nucleotides. NCBI's taxonomy places the organism in Eukaryota, Metazoa, Chordata, Mammalia, Carnivora, Phocidae. The record is from RefSeq and is a predicted model, not a curated record.
GUUGCCUGGGAAACAAAACCUAAAAAAAAGUAUCAUUUUUUUUUUUGCAUGCAUCUUCAAAUCUUCCAAUGGCAGGAUGUGCUUCUGGGUUUGAGAGGAAGCCCUUCAGUUCUUAAGGCCCAAUGAGGGGCAUCGGAGAGCAGCAGAGAGGAUGCAGCAAUGCAAUCAGAAGACUUGUUCUUGGAACAUGCCUCUAAAAGGUUCCCACACACUCCAGGAGACAGAGGACGAGCAAACCAUCCCAACACCUAUUUCCAGACCCCACCUUGCAAGUCCUGCAUAGGUGGUCUGGAUUCAACUUCACUCUGGAGCAGAGGAUACUUGACACUUUUUUUCCUGAGGCUCUGGAGGCCUGAGCCACGGUUGAGAUGAAAUGUCCCUUCCCUUUGACCUACCUGUACCCUGUGUAAAGUACUUGUAUCUGUGUCUGGCAUAUAGUAAGUGCUCAGUUAAU